Long non-coding RNA from Nerophis ophidion (straightnose pipefish), 5221 nucleotides. RefSeq lists it as uncharacterized. The record is from RefSeq and is a predicted model, not a curated record. The transcript is spliced from 8 exons. NCBI's taxonomy places the organism in Eukaryota, Metazoa, Chordata, Actinopteri, Syngnathiformes, Syngnathidae.
AAACAAAGAAAACAAUCUGAAGUUGUCUUUGUUUUUAAGUUAUUGUGCCGUCAUUUUACCAGUCCGGCCCACAUGUGAGUAGAUAUUUCUCCAUGUGGCCCCCGCUCUAAAAUGAGUUGGACACCCCUGGUUUAGGCGGUAUAUCAACAACUUACCAUGAGUUUCUUGAAGAACUCCAACUGUUGGACAGAACGCCUUCUAUGUCUGUCAAAGGAGCUGACUUUGAGAGGACUCUUUCGGACCAGCAGGACAAAGCUCCCAGCCAGAAAACACAGCAGGGCGAAGGACACAUAGAUGAAAAGCUUCAGGAAGAAAGAGGUCAGGGACAGGCCUCCCCAUGCUAGCUGGAACACUACUGCUGCCACCACACCCAGGAGGAAAGCUGGGACAAACCGGAAAGAGGAGGCAAGAGACGAGGAAGAGCUGGCAGACGUGGGUUCCUCUUCUUCACCGGCACUGCUGCUCCUGCAGGCCAAGUGUGUUGUGGUAGAUGAGGGGGUGGGCAUGCUGGGACCCCACCAUCCAUAUAUGUGUCGGGCAGAAAAGUUGACUGCCUUGUCCGGAUGUCUCGUUGGAGAGCAUCCGCCCUCCCGGCGGGCACGGACACGCAGUCCCGCUCCUUUCGUCAUCUAAACAGUGGUCGUCCAGGCAGUGCCGGGGGUUGGCCUUGAGUGGACAGCUUGAAGGCAGAAUUGGAUGAAUGGAGCCGCAAACAGCGUCACCUUGGAGACCAAUAAAGACUGUGGUGGCCCAAGAUAGCCGACUCCACUCUCGGCCAGUGUCCAGUCCGAAUAGAUGAGCGAGGAUACGUCCAAGGUGACUGAGGUGUCUGACACCUGCUCACCCAGCCAAGACACCGCGAAGCCUCUCCCUCCCAGCGCUCAGUGCUAGCUCUGCAGCCCUGUCCCCUCAUCCGCACCUCCUCCAGUCCCUCCAAACUGACUCCGGUGUGGCAGACACCCAGCAGCUGGUCUCCAUGGCCAAAAGGGUCCCGGGAGGCAGAUCCAGAAGUCCACAAAAAAGCACCACACGAGGUCGCUAAAGUGCCACCCCUUGUCACACAGUCCCAAAGGGUCCCGGACCAAAAGGCAAAAAAAUAUAAUACAUGAAAACAAGAGGGAAACACAAAAGGAUGACACAAGAGCACAGAGCUCCUGCCAACAGCAGCCACUACAGCAGCGCCAUCUUGGAGAAAAAUGGCUGACCAUAUGAUUGAGUGCGUUUAAGGCGAAUCUUUCAGUCCUCGAAGCCAUCAGAUAGCUAAGACAUCCAAAGAGAUAAAGCAUACAUUGCUGGAUUUUCCCCGCACAGUAUGGACACGCUGAGCUGUCAACAGCGGCGAAGGCGCGGAGAGGGGGUCGUUUUGUAGCUUUUGGCUAGAGGUCAGGCCUCUCGCAGACUUUUCUAAAGCAGAUUAACCUGAUACUAGAAUAAACAAAAACAAAAGUGAUGAAUCCCUAAACAUCUCAGGCUUGGCUGAUGACUCAAACAUUGGGCCUAUUGAUCUCCACUCAAGCAUCCCGCGGGGCGAGUUCCUUCUCUCACUGGGGGCCUCUCUGAACAGGCAACACACAGUGCCUAACAAAUGGAGUAAUGACUUUGCUUUGCUGUUUUAACAAGGUGUGGGCCAUAAAAUAUCUCUUAGCCUCAUGACGAGGCCCACUUGAUUAUCAAUGGCGAUCUGGCAACAUACUACUUCACCGCUGAGGGGCUGCUGGUGUCUACACGUGCAGGUCAGGACAUUUAGCUACAAUGAGGGCAUGUCACUCUACAGAUACUUCCUAACCACUCUGAAAUAAAGUAGAUGAAACACACACUCUCAAAUGAGGCAUCUUUAAUGCCGACAUUUGAACGUACUGUAUGUCAGACACUUUUUCAACAAUGAUUUUUUGAUGCCUUCUCCAAAACCUUUGACUGAAGUUACAUUACUUAGACUUAGACAAACUUUAAUUAUCCACAAGGGAAAUUGUUCAACACAAUAGCUCAGUUACAAUGAUGGAAAGUGUAAGGAUGGAAAUGACAAUGCUGCUAUAAACAGACUAGAUAUAGCAAUAUAAAAUAUAACAUAUCUGCAAAUAUAUACAAUAUAUACUUAAUAUUUGUACAGCAUGUUAUGUAUACAGAUAUAUUAUGUCUAUAACAUGUAUAUAAUAUAUACCAAUUACCAUGUACAAUAUUACAGUAUAUGUGGCAGCCCAAGCAUAAAAUAGAGUAGAUCCAGCAGAAAAUAGAAUAUAGACAUUAAAAACAAAGAGAAGUAGAUGACAGAGGGUGUCAGGUAACGGACGGAUAUCAUCUAUUGCUGUAUGGGGAGUGAUUAUUAACAUACACAGUGAUUAUACAUAUUACCAAAAAUGUUAUUUCAAUGGGACCACUCAGUAAAUAAGUUAAUCACUGUAUUGUAACCCCAAGUAAAAUUAGCUUUACAAGUGUGCCUCUCUAAAAAACAAAACAUAAGGCACUCACACUCAGAUACAUAUUGUCAUAUUUCUGUUCUAACAUAUUAAGGGCCUGAUCUACUAAAGGUGUGCAUGUGCUAAAACACGUGCAAACAUAAUAGCAUAUGCAAAGCUGACCUACGAAGGUCAUGAGCAAAGGAUUGUGUCUUAUAAGUGAGCCAAAUAAGGUGAACAAACCAUUUAGUGUGACUGUCUUCAUGAUCGUUGUGGUAAAGAAGGAGCUGAGCCGGAAGGCAAAGCUCUCAAUUUACCGGUCGAUCUACGUUCCCAUCCUCACCUAUGGUCAUGAGCUUUGGGUCAUGACCGAAAGGAUAAGAUCACGGGUACAAGCGGCCGAAAUUAGUUUCCUCUGCCGUGUGGCGGGGCUCUCCCUUAGAGAUAGGGUGAGAAGCUCUGCCAUCCGGGAGGAACUCAAAGUAAAGCCGCUGCUCCUUCACAUCGAGAGGAGCCAGAUGAGGUGGUUCGGGCAUCUGGUCAGGAUGCCACCCGAACGCCUCCCUAGGGAGGUGUUUAGGGCACGUCCAACCGGUAGGAGGCCACGGGGAAGACCCAGGACACGUUGGGAAGACUAUGUCUCCCGGCUGGCCUGGGAACGCCUCGGGAUCCCCCGGGAAGAGCUAGACGAAGUGGCGGGGGAGAGGGAAGUCUGGGUUUCCCUGCUUAGGCUGUUGCCCCCGUGACCCGACCUCGGAUAAGCGGAAGAUGGAUGGAUGGAUGGAUGGAUGGAUGUCUUCAUGAUGAAGCAAAAUAUGUGAUGAUCAUCAGAACAGCCACAACACUGGGAGGAGAAAAUGCAUACAUAUCGUUGAGCACGUGCAAUUUGAUUUAUUAAGACUAAAACGGUUCUGCAGGAGUGGCCAGCGCUGUAAAAUCAGCUGGGCAGAGAAUCCUUUGUCCUAUGUGUGUGAGUGAAGAAAUAUAGACUGUCCUAAAUGAAAAAUAUUAAACAUAUUGUCUAUUAAGCAAUAUCAUUUUAUUAUUUUAUAGAUACUGGAUGAUUUAAGGGGCUAAUCAAAACCAAUUCAAUUGAUGCAUUUUUUUGCCUUUGGAUCAUUCCAGACACAUUAAAGUUAAAGUUUAACUUUAACAAUGAAUGUGUCAGAGUUAUUUGGUGACGAACCCCAAGAUGCAGAGAUGGAGGCAGGCAUUGAAUGGGAAAACAUGGUUUUAAUUUAAAAUACUACAACUAGAACAAACAAAGGGUACAAACAAAAAGCACGCAUGUGGGCGGAUAUAACAAACUAAGGGCUAUGAACCAACAAAUCAGAAGCAGGGAACAAAAAACAGUAAGCUACAAACAUUUGCCAAAUAUAGCUUACCGCUAUGCUGCAAUCACAGGACCAGUAGGAAUGACAAGUAGAAAAUGAUAUUGACACGACAAUACAAUGAUCCAGGCCUGACUGGAGGAACAAAGCAGGUAAAAUAGGAGCUGGCUGAUUGACAUCAGGUGUGACCAGAUGCCAAUCAGCCACAGCUGAGUGAAAACAGGACACAGGGAGGCAGACAGGAAGCCGAACCAAAAUAAGAGCACUAGACAGGAACUAAGGACAGGAAAUACUAAACACAGAGGAAACAAACAAAAGCAGAGGAAAAAACUAAAACAUAGUCAAACUGUCAGAGGAAAGCCUGACAGAAUGUGGAGGGAAAUUAGUGUUUCAAUGGACACAUAAUGCCAGUGGUACAUGCAAAAACCUCAUUUAAAGUACCAGUAGAGUGGAAAAACAAGUUGAAUUUAUAUGCUUAAUUGUGUUUCAUUGUAACCAUUAAACCAUAUCCAUAAACCAUAAACAUCACAAAAUGCCACAAACUUAGUUAGCCAUUUGAAUAUUCCACUCCGUACAUCUAUGGUGAUUUCCGUAGAUAGACGUCAAUGGAGAAACACUCUCUGACCAUAGUAUCAGAUCAGUCAUACUGGAAAUGUGUUUCAUUGUUUCAUUAAAAAUUCUCAAAUUUUUCGCUGUGUCGUUAUCCAAUAUGUCGGCUGUUCUGUUUUGGAUUUCCCAGCGUCGCUCUCAUCAGCGUCACGGGUUGAUUUCAAUGCCCCGCCUUCUGAAAUACAUCUACUGAGAAGUCCCAGAUCCUUGUGUGGAGCUCAGCGAACUACAAGAAUCUGGCGAGAGUCAGUUUUCAGAUCAAUAUCCUUGAAAGUCAGACACAUUCACACACUGAUGGCGGGAGCUGCCAUGCAAGGCCCUAACCACGACCCAUAAGGAGCAAGGGUGAAGUGUCUUGUCCAGGGACACAACGGACGUAAUUUCGAUGGCGGAAGCUUGGAUCAAACAUGGAACACUUAAGUGGAUGACACACCACCGCUCGCGCUGGGCGUAGCACGCCCACACAGCGACAAGGCUGCAGUCAAUCACUCAUCAGCGCACCUGGGCCUGACGAGAGGGAGCGGCAUAAAUAGUCACCGAAGCCAGUAGACCUUCGCCAGAACGUAGCCAAUCUCGCCUGAUGUCUUCCGUGAUCGUGUCUUGCCUCACGACCUGCUCCCGGAUUUUCGCUUACCUUCCCCGAUCCUUGACCACUGUUUGGGCCCUGACAUCGUUGCCUCUCUUCAGCCCCUGACUGCUUGCCUCCCUGCUGACUACCUCUUUGCCUUCCCCUUUGGAUUCAACGAAAGAUACAUCCAACACGCACUGACAACACCCUCUGUUAAACCCCACAUUGUUAAUUCCACACAUCGUCUGCAUUCACCCACUAGUGGUGGCAUACACAUCCCACACAUUCAUCAAAGGUUUAAAUAAACCUUCGAAAAUGCA